GGGUCGUUAGCUCAGUUUCUCUUUGUUAAAUCAAUAGCUGCAGUUGGCUUUUAACCAAUUGGUUAAAGGUUCAGAUUCUUCACGACUCACCA
RNAcentral lists this transfer RNA (92 nucleotides) under Shewanella sp. SG41-4. RNAcentral describes it as "tRNA-Lys". The record is from RNAcentral. Lineage: Bacteria; Pseudomonadati; Pseudomonadota; Gammaproteobacteria; Alteromonadales; Shewanellaceae.